This 382-nucleotide ribosomal RNA is filed under the name uncultured eukaryote. Its description in RNAcentral is "partial 18S ribosomal RNA". It matches the Rfam family "Eukaryotic small subunit ribosomal RNA", at positions 592 to 976 of the family's 1831-position model. The record is from RNAcentral.
UGUAAGCGUAUACCAAAGUUGUUGCAGUUAAAACGCUCGUAGUCGGAAUUUGGCAGUUCCGGAAGUGUGCACGUCGUGUGCGCACUUUGCGGGGACUGCUUUUGUGGUCUUGCGUUGGAUGAGGCACUUUCAUUAGUGAACGUCCUCACGCAACCACUCUUUACUGUGAGAAAAUCAGAGUGCUCAAAGCAGGCAUUUGCCGUGAAUGUAUUAGCAUGGAAUAAUAGAAUAGGACUCGGUUCUAUUUUGUUGGUUUGUUGGGACUGAGUAAUGAUUAAGAGGGACAGUUGGGGGCAUUUGUAUUCCGGCGCUAGAGGUGAAAUUCUUAGAUUGCCGGAAGACAAACUGCUGCGAAAGCGUCUGCCAAGGAUGUUUUCAUUGA